Long non-coding RNA from Pectinophora gossypiella (pink bollworm), 1013 nucleotides. RefSeq lists it as uncharacterized. The transcript is spliced from 4 exons. The record is from RefSeq and is a predicted model, not a curated record. Lineage: Eukaryota; Metazoa; Arthropoda; Insecta; Lepidoptera; Gelechiidae.
UAAAAGGUCGGUAUUAUGGGGAUAUCCAACCGGAGAUUCCCACCAAAACAUGGUAUUCUAGAUACCGCUUGGCGGAUAAACGAUCCACCUCGGUUGUUUGUCGGUUGCGCAUUGGCCAUACAUGCACCCCUCUACAUCUGUUUAAAUUAAACUUACGUAACACGCCCAUGUGUGACUGUGAAACUGAAGAAGGCUCCACAGAUCAUAUACUUUUUAAUUGCCCUUUACGACCUAUUUCAUUAUACGAUAUCCUUCCUUCGAAAAUUCCUAGGCCCAUUAACGCGAAAUCCCUAUUAUUAUUUACUAACACGUCGUUCAUAAAAUUACUGUGCAAUUACAUACAAAAGAAAUAGUGAUACCUUUGGAAGUACUUUUAUGGACAUUAUCUAUGGACAAAUGUGAUCCCUAUACUUGACAUUGGCAGUAAUGGUUGUCUCUACUCUAUGACGACCGGUUGCCAUACAACCAUAAAGUUGAAGUUGAAUUCCGUAACUUAUCCUCUCAAUUUUUGUAGCUGUAUAUCUAACUUUCACCAUGUCCCAUAAGUGUAGUGUUGUGAGUUGUGAUAGUAGACGAAAGGACGUAAAUUUUUAUAGAUUUCCAAAAAUCUGAGAUAGAACUCCAAAAAUGGAUAGAGUGCACAUUGGUUCUGAAAAAUUGCAAAGUGUCCUGAACUUACCAAAAACAGAAAAGGUUUUUCUCAUCGCCACGAGUAAGAUCUCGUCUCAGCAUCGACGCUUAUCCAACAUUAUUUGUUAUUAACAUUAUCUUAUUACAUGGCUUACACCACGACGCCGAUGGAACCAAAAAUGUCUCUCAUGAGCACAAUUUUUGCAAGAAGAGACUGCAUGAAAACCAUUCCUACAGCAAAGUUGAAGUUCCAGAGAAACGUAGAAGUGAUGCACCCAUUUACUUCACCCCUCGACGCCCUACAUAAAGAAGGCGUGUGAUUUUCACGAAAAAUCUCUGACAUCAAUUUGUGCAAGAAUUUACUCUGAGUACAUGAGAUCCAG